AUUGAACGCUGGCGGCAUGCCUUACACAUGCAAGUCGAACGGCAGCACGGGUGCUUGCCCCUGGUGGCGAGUGGCGAACGGGUGAGUAAUACAUCGGAACAUGUCCUGUAGUGGGGGAUAGCCCGGCGAAAGCCGGAUUAAUACCGCAUACGAUCUACGGAUGAAAGCGGGGGACCGUCGGGCCUCGCGCUAUAGGGUUGGCCGAUGGCUGAUUAGCUAGUUGGUGGGGUAAAGGCCUACCAAGGCGACGAUCAGUAGCUGGUCUGAGAGGACGACCAGCCACACUGGGACUGAGACACGGCCCAGACUCCUACGGGAGGCAGCAGUGGGGAAUUUUGGACAAUGGGCGAAAGCCUGAUCCAGCAAUGCCGCGUGUGUGAAGAAGGCCUUCGGGUUGUAAAGCACUUUUGUCCGGAAAGAAAUCCUUGGCCCUAAUACGGUCGGGGGAUGACGGUACCGGAAGAAUAAGCACCGGCUAACUACGUG
This 486-nucleotide ribosomal RNA is filed under the name uncultured bacterium. Its description in RNAcentral is "partial 16S ribosomal RNA". It matches the Rfam family "Bacterial small subunit ribosomal RNA", at positions 30 to 507 of the family's 1533-position model. The record is from RNAcentral.